CGAAUCGUUGGAGCCUUA
This 18-nucleotide non-coding RNA is filed under the name Arabidopsis thaliana (thale cress). The record is from RNAcentral. Lineage: Eukaryota; Viridiplantae; Streptophyta; Magnoliopsida; Brassicales; Brassicaceae.